This is a long non-coding RNA of Melitaea cinxia (Glanville fritillary), 158 nucleotides long. RefSeq lists it as uncharacterized. NCBI's taxonomy places the organism in Eukaryota, Metazoa, Arthropoda, Insecta, Lepidoptera, Nymphalidae. The transcript has 3 exons. The record is from RefSeq and is a predicted model, not a curated record.
GCUAUUGUGUUUUGUAGACUGCGGAUUCAUGUGCCAAAUCUGCCAUCCAAAUCGGCUCCCAUGCUCACUAUAAAAAUUUCUGUUAUGAUCUUGGUGUUGCAGCGAAUACUCGGUUGGCCAAUUCGUGGACAUCAUCUUGGAUAUCAUCCAAAAUGGUA